Molecule: ribosomal RNA, 371 nt
Filed under: Clostridioides difficile
Lineage: Bacteria; Bacillati; Bacillota; Clostridia; Peptostreptococcales; Peptostreptococcaceae
Description: partial 23S ribosomal RNA
Rfam family: Bacterial large subunit ribosomal RNA
Source: RNAcentral
GUACCCGUACCGCAAACCGACACAGGUGGGUGAGGAGAGUAUCCUAAGGCCAGCGAGAGAACUGUUGUUAAGGAACUCGGCAAAAUGACCCCGUAACUUAGGGAUAAGGGGUGCCACCAUCAGGUGGCCGCAGAGAAUAGGCCCAAGCGACUGUUUACCAAAAACAUAGGUUUCUGCUAAGUCGCAAGACGAUGUAUAGGAGCUGACGCCUGCCCGGUGCUGGAAGGUUAAGGGGAUCUGUUAGAGUAAUCGAAGCAGUGAACUUAAGCCCCAGUAAACGGCGGCCGUAACUAUAACGGUCCUAAGGUAGCGAAAUUCCUUGUCGGGUAAGUUCCGACCCGCACGAAAGGCGUAACGAUUUGGGCACUGUC